AUGACCUUUAAUUUAAUCCAGAGAGAUUAACAAGGAAGAGAUUGUAAUAGUAAAAGACUUUUAUUUAGGGCUUAUUAUACCUUCCUUGAAAUAAGGAAGGUUUUUUUCUG
Clostridium sp. 7_2_43FAA is the source of this 110-nucleotide regulatory RNA element. It matches the Rfam family "PyrR binding site". From Rfam's summary of the family: This family represents the PyrR binding site and terminator structure. This RNA structure is found upstream of a variety of genes involved in pyrimidine biosynthesis and transport. The record is from Rfam. NCBI's taxonomy places the organism in Bacteria, Bacillati, Bacillota, Clostridia, Eubacteriales, Clostridiaceae.